GACAGCUCAGCCAGCAGAGCAUGAGAUUCUUCAUCUCAGGAUUGUGGGUUCAAGCCACACCUUAGGCA
Non-coding RNA from Podarcis lilfordi (Lilford's wall lizard), 68 nucleotides. Lineage: Eukaryota; Metazoa; Chordata; Lepidosauria; Squamata; Lacertidae. The record is from the annotation of a GenBank genome assembly.